This 467-nucleotide ribosomal RNA is filed under the name uncultured bacterium. RNAcentral describes it as "partial 16S ribosomal RNA". It matches the Rfam family "Bacterial small subunit ribosomal RNA", at positions 28 to 507 of the family's 1533-position model. The record is from RNAcentral.
GACGAACGCUGGCGGCGUGCUUAACACAUGCAAGUCGAACGGAAAGGCCCUGCUUUUGUGGGGUGCUCGAGUGGCGAACGGGUGAGUAACACGUGAGUAACCUGCCCUUGACUUUGGGAUAACUUCAGGAAACUGGGGCUAAUACCGGAUAGGAGCUCCUGCUGCAUGGUGGGGGUUGGAAAGUUUCGGCGGUUGGGGAUGGACUCGCGGCUUAUCAGCUUGUUGGUGGGGUAGUGGCUUACCAAGGCUUUGACGGGUAGCCGGCCUGGGAGGGUGACCGGCCCCAUUGGGACUGAGAUACGGCCCAGACUCCUACGGGAGGCAGCAGUGGGAAUAUUGCACAAUGGGCGGAAGCCUGAUGCAGCAACGCCGCGUGCGGGAUGACGGCCUUCGGGUUGUAAACCGCUUUCGCCUGUGACGAAGCGUGAGUGACGGUAAUGGGUAAAGAAGCACCGGCUAACUACGUG